RNAcentral lists this transfer RNA (84 nucleotides) under Anaerolineae bacterium. Its description in RNAcentral is "tRNA-Leu". It matches the Rfam family "tRNA". From Rfam's summary of the family: Transfer RNA (tRNA) molecules are approximately 80 nucleotides in length. Lineage: Bacteria; Bacillati; Chloroflexota; Anaerolineae. The record is from RNAcentral.
GCCGGAGUGGCGGAACAGGCAGACGCGCGCGACUCAAACUCGCGUGUCCUUUGGGACUUGUGGGUUCGAUUCCCACCUCCGGCA